Molecule: ribosomal RNA, 458 nt
Filed under: uncultured bacterium
Lineage: Bacteria
Description: partial 16S ribosomal RNA
Rfam family: Bacterial small subunit ribosomal RNA
Source: RNAcentral
AACGAACGCUGGCGGCAUGCCUAACACAUGCAAGUCGAACGAGACCUUCGGGUCUAGUGGCGCACGGGUGCGUAACGCGUGGGAACCUGCCCUUAGGUUCGGAAUAACUCCCCGAAAGGGGUGCUAAUACCGGAUAAUGUCUUCGGACCAAAGAUUUAUCGCCUUUGGAUGGGCCCGCGUUGGAUUAGCUAGUUGGUAGGGUAAAAGCCUACCAAGGCGACGAUCGAUAGCUGUUCUGAGAGGAUGAUCAGCCACACUGGGACUGAGACACGGCCCAGACUCGGAGGGGAGGCCGCGGCGGGGAAUAUUGCGGAAGGGGCGGGAGGGGAAUGUUGCAAAGCGGCGGAGAGCAAGAAGGCCCACGGGCGGGAGAGUAAUGACGGCGGGGGGGUAGAAAGUCUUUUUAACACGGGGGGAUAAUGACGGUACCGGAAGAAGAAGCCCCGGCUAACUCCGUG